GGGGAUGUACCGGUUUCGACGGAAUCGGGAGAUGUUGUAUUGCAAGUGAGAGUGAAGGUUCUCUGAACUGACAAAAAAAUAACUGCAAUUUUCGCAAGAAAAGAAGAAGAAGCUGAAGAAGCUUUCGAAGCAGAAGCACUUGCUGCUUAGUCAGUAGUGCAGGAACUCACCGGGCUCUGUUCCGCGUCUGGUGACUUUCCUUUACCUAUCGGGACUUGCUGGCUGUUGUUUCUGGUCCUCAGCCGGGACUUUUUAAUCAGAAUAAGGAGCCGACGCUUGUUAUGCUGCUACCGUGCUCCUGACAACUACCUCGCAUAACUAAACUUGUAGAAGUGCAAUGUUUACUUUUUCGGACGGGGGUUCAAUUCCCCCCAUCUCCAU
Molecule: transfer-messenger RNA, 381 nt
Filed under: uncultured Treponema sp.
Lineage: Bacteria; Pseudomonadati; Spirochaetota; Spirochaetia; Treponematales; Treponemataceae
Rfam family: transfer-messenger RNA
About the family: Bacterial tmRNA, also known as 10Sa RNA or SsrA, is named for its dual tRNA and mRNA-like properties. Its role is to liberate the mRNA from a stalled ribosome.
Source: RNAcentral